CUUCAAACAAUUUCUAGCAAUCAGAUUUUAUCCUAGGCAUUCCUUCAACAGGUGUGUGGUACCUCCACUGAAAAUCUUGGUUAGGUCCAAUCAUUAACAUAACAACAUUGAGUGCAUCCAACAAACGGAUGUCCAGGCCUGAGUGUGGCUUGGCCAACCUGAGCAUUGAUCUGAAGGUCAAUAAGAUGGUCAUAUGAUGGAUGAUAAUUUUAAUAUAUAAUAGACACC
This 228-nucleotide long non-coding RNA is filed under the name Elaeis guineensis (African oil palm). RNAcentral's name for it is "long non-coding RNA (EGUI_LNC036717)". Lineage: Eukaryota; Viridiplantae; Streptophyta; Magnoliopsida; Arecales; Arecaceae. The record is from RNAcentral.